GCUUCCCCGUGCCCGGAAUGCAUUACGAUUCACAACAGCCACUUCCUGUUUGCCGUCUCCAUGGAAACAGAAGACGCGCUUGGAAUUUGGAACGUUCAAACUGCAAACAUGUCGCAGGAAGUCUUGUUGAAUGUAACCCCCAAAUUUACCUUCUGCCCCCUUCCAAACAGGCCCUUUAAGUCCCUGGAAAACAGAGACACCAGAGAGCUGCUGAUGAAAUGGUAAAUACUGGUUUGCUGUGCCUGGAUUUAAUAUUAUUAUUAUUAUUAUUAAUGAAUAUUUCUAGAGAUAACUGGUUGAGAGAUCUCUAUAUACCACCUUUAAUUACAUAUUACAUGUGUGUGUUCUCAAGCUGUUAUCUUGCUUAUAAAAGUAUCCUUCUAACAGUAAAACUAAAACAUUAGGACAAAAGUAUGCUUUGCAUGCCUAUAGAAUGCCAAAGCAUGAUGGAAGCUGUAGUUUUAAAACACCUGGGGAAUAUACCUUUUGGGUUUCCCCGUUGCUCUAAGGCAGGGAUCCUCAAACUCUGGCCCCCCCCAAAUGUUGCUGAACUACAACUCCCAUGAUUCUCUGGCUAUCGAUGUAAUUCAAAGAAUGAUGGGAGUUGUAGUUCAGCAACAACUGGAGGGCCACAGUUUGAGGACCCCUGCUCUAAGGAGUAGUGAAUCGGAAACUGAACUGAACUGCAAAAGGUAGGUGGCUAUAGGUGAAUUGCUGAUUUGUUUUCCAAGUCAGCGUUUUAUUGCCUACAUUUUGCAGUUCUCGUUUCUGGUCACUGCAAUUCUAUGUUUAGCAAAUAUGCAGCUGUAACAGUUUGCCUACCCUUGAUCGUAGUACUAUAACUAGUGAAAUGCAGUAUUGGAAAUCAAAAUUUCAUUUAAAUAUACCUAAGUUACAUUAUGUGUACUUGGGAUUUCAAUGUGAUAUUCAAAUUUGAAAGGGCUACUCCAAAUAUCAUAGCCAUUAUCACUCGCUGUAGUGGUUAUGAUCCCAGGAGUACCCUGUUCCCUUUUCCCAAUAAUGGGGCAAACCAGUUUGCAAUGACUUGCCCUCUUACUUGGGUAUGGAGUCUCCCUUUCUGCAGCAAAAGGGUAAACUCUGUAGGUGCAAAAUGCUGCGCAUACAGACAACAAGCUGCCUGAAUACAUCAAAUAGCUGAAGUGGUCAUGGUGCUGGGUGUGGUCCCUUAAGCCAAAAUAGUCAAAUGUAAAACUAUAUCUGACUUGUAUGUUAUUUUCCAUUUAGGUGAUUUUAACCUAAAAUGUGAAAUUCACUUUGAAUUACUGAAAAAGUUACAGUAUAGUAUUAUCUUUCUCUCCAUUUGUUUAGAUUCAAGCUAAAAUGGUAGGUUAAGACCAUACUACUCUGUUCUAUUCUGAUCAGUUACAAAAAAUGCAGAUAAUCUGAUAACAGUUAAAAGAACAUUCCAAUAACCAUAAGUACUACAGAACUAUAGUGGUUAUGGUGCCAGGAGUUCAAACCCCUCCAAUGUAAGUAGUUUGACUUUUCACCUGGGUACACCUGGCAUUAGUCACUUCUGGACGCUCUAUGGUCCGAGCUAAGCCUGGUGGCUGAGAGUAGUCAGCUGGUACUUUCAACCAAUGAACUAACACUAGAGUUUCGCUCAGGAAUGCAAACAGAAGCUCCAUGCAGUGUUGUUUAAUAAACACAUUUUGCACAUUGCUUUUUGGGCCAAUCCAUCGUUUUUUUUCAUGUCACCCAAGCAUAUCUACUGGCAUUGCAAUAGGGAUAUACCGGUAGGUAAUGCCAUGCAUCAUAUUCUUUUUAAAAAGAAAAAUCCAUACUUGUAGUAAUUAGCACUGGAUCACCAGUUCAGUUUUUAGUAUUCUUUUUUUUUUUUUUUUUUGUAAGAAAUGUUUACCUAGGUUAGGGAGUACCAAUAUCUAUAACAAAAUGUAAGAAAAUAAGCAUUGACAUGGCUCUUAUGCUACAUAUUGCACACAUUUCCUGUAAUUACACAAGCAGCACACUGUGGAAUCAAAGUGCAGUCUGGGGUUACAGUACUACUUGCUAUAUUGACUGUGGUCCCUGCACCAGAGCCCUCUACGUCUAUCCCGAUUGUUAUAUGAUCUUCUCUUUUAAAAGUAGGUUGUCGUCCCUGCUUAUCUUCUGUACUGUAAUGUUUGACAUGACAUUGUAUAACACAGAGCUAGAUAAUUACUCAGUAAUACCUCUCACCAUUAUGCCAUUUUGGAGGGACAGUCCCAGUUUCAAGCCCACUGGCAUAAUUGCAGGAUUGGCACCCUGUAGACACCAGGCAAAAAGUCAAAUCUGUCAUGCACAGUGGGCGUGAUUCUGUCCCAGGAUUGCAGGGGAUAACCUGGUUUUCUGGUUGUUUUUCAUUACAAUAGUCCCUCCCUGGCACCACUAUGUCUGGAAACCUAAUUAAGUUAGCACCAGCUAACACAAUAGGCUCCCUGCUGGGUCUUCCCAGACCUAAAGGCAAGAUAUACCAAAUGUCUUUCAGAACCCCCUUUUUUACGUGAACAGCACCCCCACAAACUAUAUGUCCCGGGAUAGCUCGUCAACGAGCACCGCCACUGUUUAAAUAGCACCUUAAUCAGAGAACCCCGAGCUACAGUGUUUAAAAUUUUACAGAGUUUGCUCAAAUCCCAGGUAUCCUCAGAUGCCUCAUGGCCUCUGCGAUCUCCCCCCAAAAUAGGGCCUGUUUGGUGGUCUAAGAACUGAGUGAUACCUGAUUACCUGGCACAGUCCCGAUUCAGUGAACAGUUAUAGAGAGAUUUAAGGCAUCUCCCGGUAAGGCACUGGAUGUGCUGGACGAGUCCAGGCAAUCACCAGAGUCCCCAAUGCUAGCUGGGAAGUAGAAUAAGUGACCAGGGUCCCCAUAGCCCUCCCCACAGUGAUAAUAACCCCUUCCAGGUGUUAUUUGUCUUUUCAUUGUUAAAAUAUUCUGUCUUGGUACUCUAGCAUCAGAAUGUACAUACCUAUAGAGACAAGGUUAUAAGUCACAUAACCAGACUGUCAAAAAGACACUAUAGACACAGCAGACACUCAGACAACCUAAUCUCAUUGGAGGUUAAUUCAUUUGGUGUCACUUUAUGCCCUCGGAUGGGAGGAUGGAUAAGGUAGCUAGAGAACAAGUUGUUUUAAUGCCCACAUUUUCUCUAUUGUGACAUCUUGGCAGAUAGACCUCUCCAUGACAAAACCGUUUUAAAACAGUUCGACUCCUUACAAUGGGGGAUGCCAGGGAACUCCUGACACCAUAGCCUCUACAGCGACCUGUAGUGGUUAUGCUACUUGGAGUGUUCCUUUAAUGAAGUAACUGUAAACACUCUGUGACUAUAACUGUAAACACCAACAUAUCUACAUAUUUAAAGUUACGGUAAGUUAAAUUCACCAGAUUGCCACAAUCUCUUCUUUUUUAAUUUUUUGUUUUCUUUUUUGUUUUUUACAAACUUAAGCAGGAUAUUUGACUAUUUUAACUUAUAUUACUGCUAAUAUUUCAGACCUAUGCUGAAUGUUUGCAUGAUAAAACAUCCCUAGCAAGGCAUUACUUAAAAUUUCUUGUAAAGCCUGAAUGAAAAUUUUAAGUUAUGUAAAUAUACACAAUUAAAUAAAUUUUUUUUGUAUCUCUGAACAAUAAUGUAACUCUUUGCGUUCCAAUAAAUUUUUACUAAGCGCGCCAGCAGGUCUUAUAUACAUUUUUAGAAAUUAAUUUUUCCCCAAAAUUGGAGAUAGCAUGCGCACAGUGCUACGCAAUAUCCCGCUGGAACGCAACGCAACCUUUGUGUGCGUUCCACCGCCAGGAUCAAACUCCUCCUCCUACAAUCCUACUGUCAAGUAUUUACUUCUAGACGACAAGGUAAGCCGGCUGCUUAGCAGGUCUGUACCCCUCCUGUCUUUGUGGUGGAACGCACACUGGGUGCCUGUGUUCCACCUUCUUAUACCGCCGAUCCUCUGUGCCAGGUGCCAGAAAAGGCAAAAGUGGAGGGGCGAAGAUGAGUGGGACAGACCUGCUGAUCAGUUGACUCGCCUUAUCCCCUAGAAGUAUUCCGAGGCAAAACUAGCACAGGGGCUUGGAGCCAAAAUUGUCCUGCACCCCAGCCCCAUGUGCCUUGUUCCCUUACCCCAGUCCUUCUAUGUGUCUCAUUUCCUGCCACCCAGCCCCUCCAUGUGUCUCAUUCCGCUCCCUCCAGCCCCUCUGUGUCCCAUUCACCUCCCCAGUCCCUCCAUGUGUCUCAUUGCCGUCCCCCCAGUCCCUCCAUGUGUCUCAUUUCCCGCCCUCCCAGCACCUCCAUUUGUCUCAUUUCCCCCAGCCCCUUCAUGUGUCUCAUUCCCUUCCCUCUUCAGCCUUUCCAUGUUUCUAAUUUUCUUCCCCCCAAUCUCUUCAUGUGUUUCAUUUCCCUCCCCACCAGCCCCUUCGUGUGUCUCAUUUGCCCUUCCCAGUAGCCAGUCCUUGCAUCUCAUUCCCCUCCCCCCAUCCCCUCCAUGUGUCUCAUUCCCCUCCCUUCCACCCCCUACAUAUGUCUCUUUGCCCUCCCUCAGCCCCUCCAUGUGUCUCAUUCCCUUCCCCCCAGCUGCUUCAGGUGUCUCAUUUCUCUCCCCACCAGACCCUCCAUGUGUCUUUCCCCUCCCCAGCCCCUCCAUGUGUCUCAUUCCCUCCCCUCAGACCCUUCAUGUGUCUUAUUUCCCAGCUCUUCCAUGUCUCAUUCCCUCCCCCAUGUGUCUCAUUUCCUUCCCCCCAGACCUUCCAUGUGUCUAAUUUUCCUUCCCCCCAACCCCGGCAUGUGUCUCAUUUCACUCUCCCCAAACCCCUCCAUGUGUCUCAUUUCCCUCCUCCCCAGCACCUCCAUGUGUCUCCUUUCCCCCACCCCUCUAUUUGUCUCUGCCCUUUCCACCCCUGUACCUGCUCAUCGAUACCCACUCUUAUAGGAAGUACUGUCUCAGUGAGCACUUCCUAUCAAACCACAGUCCGCUCAGCCACUCUACAUACAGGCAGGAGCGGAGCAGCACAGCCCUGAGUUGCUAUGUCGGAAUAUAUCUGACAAAAUAUUUGAUCACUUGUGUUCCAAUGCCGCACCAGCCCCGAAGUUAUGCUGACAUUGGAACGCCAGUGAUAAAAUAUUUUGUCGGAUAUAUUACGACAUAGGACCACAAAGGGUUAAACCAUGCGCAAGAGUACAGCAUUGAGGAUGAACGAUCCCAUGAGAUCGUGGGACCCUCCAAAGACCGAGCCAAUUCCCUGCAGCCAUCAGUGGUGACGGCUGGGGGGGUUAACUCUUAGGCUCCACCUUGUGUCUGAGAAAGUUAGCUGGAGGAGAAAUACACAGACAAAGUAGUCCCUAUUUAAGUGAAAUUCCAACACAUUCAAAAUGAGUGUUUCACAAAGAUUAUAUCUUUUGAAAUACAAAUAUUUCAGGUGUGGAGGAGGGAGGGGUGACAGUGCCGCUUUAAAGUAACACUAUAUUGGUUGGAAUACAAACACUAGGAUGUUCGUCUGCCUCCGUUGCCCCUCCUAAAAAUCCCUUAAACACCUGAUUACAGCUUUGUCUAUUCCUCUUCCAACGUCAAUGCUAGGGGAAACCUAAUGCGCAUGCGUGGUGAGCGGAUCUUGCGCGUAAUGCCAUAUGACAAGACGUUCUCAAGCAAAGCGUGAGGACGUCCAGCGUCAUUUCACGAAGAGUCCACUAGAGGCAGUCUUAACCCUGCAAUGAAAGCAUUGCUAUUUCUGUAAAACUGCAAUGUUUUCAGAUGCAGGGUUAAAAGGACAGAAACACUGCAGCUUUAAAGGGACACUAAAGGCACACAGACCAUUUCAUCUAAUUGAACUGGUGCAUAUAGUGUCCCUUUAAAGCAAUGCGUACCAUAACAAAAAGAGGUUAUUAGAAAUAAGGCAUUCUAAAAUGUACUGUAUAGUGAAAAUACUUUUUUUUUUUUUUUGCUACAUGGUUGAAAAAGAAAUUACUAACACUAACCAAAAUCAACACAUUUUGAUAUAGCACAGGUGUCUUUCUAAAGGAAGGCUUGAAGCAAGCAUAAGAUUUUCUGGCAAUAUCUACGUAUAUCAAUCAAAUCAUAUAUGCUUAUUAAAUUAUACAGAAUUGUCAGGAAUGUAUGACACAUUCGGCAGAUGGUUUAGAGAGAACUAUUAAAAUCCUUGAAGUUAUACAGACUUGGGCUGAUAGAAACAGAUGGCUAUGGAUCAGUCAUUCCGCUGUAGGCAGACUCUGUUGCCAGUAUUGGCUAUAAACAAAAGGAGGAACUCCGCACUCUUAUUAAAAUCCUGGUGAAACCAUGCCUAGGAUUGGCUGCCCCUACCGUGAUAGUUGAACAAAAUUGUGGUCCAGGCACUCAAGGAUCAGUUGAACAGCAGCUUUAUUUGGAAAAGUACGUUUCAAUCCCACUGCAGGGUAAUAUAGGGAUUUAGAGCAGGGGUUCUCAACCCAGUCCUCAAGGACCCCCUACCAGUCCAGGAUUUAUGGAUUACCUGGGUGUGUCUCAGGUGUUUAGUAAAAGAGGGGAAAAAACACCUUAGAGUCUAAGGUGUUUUUUUUUUCUUUCUAAACACUUUAACACACAUUGGUAAUCCCUGAAUCCUGGACUGGUAGGGGGUCCUUGAGGACUGGGUUGAGAACCCCUGAUUAACCCCUUAGCGACCGAGGACGGUUCAGGACCGUCAUCGGCAUUUUUGCCUUGAGGACUGAUGACGGUCCUGAACCGUCCUAACGGUCUGGGGGUACUUACCUGAUCGCCGUCGUUCCCCCGGCGGCGAUCAGCGUUGCUCCGGUUGUGGGGAGACUGCCAGCAGCCCAGACAGUCUCCCCACACUGAUUUAGGACCCCUGUGGCCAUGUGAUCGCUUAACACAGCGAUCACAUGGUCACAAUAGGUGUCCAUAGUGCUGCCUGCAGGGGGACUGUCUGUGCUGACAGGCAGUCUCCCUGCUAGUGUAAAAUCAAAAAAAAAGUUAGUGUUAAUAAAAAAAAUUAAAAAAAUUAUAUAUGUGUAUAAAUAUGAUAUAUAGACAUAUAUUAUAUCUAUAUAAUAUAUGUCUAUCUAUCAUAUAUAUAAUGUCAUACUAAGUGUAUUUUUAUAUUAAUAUGUACUUAUAUUAAUAUAAAAAUACACUUAUAAUUAAAUUAUACACGUAUAUAUAUAAUAUAUAUAAUAACUAUAUAUAUUGUAUAUAUAUAUUAUUAUAAAAUAUAAAUAAUAAGUAAUUUAAAUUAAAUAAAAAAUUUUUAAAUAAUAAUAAAAAAUUAAAAAAAAAUUAUAUAGCUAUAUGAAAUUUUAUUCUAACUGUAUUUUAAAAUUAAUAUAUAUAUAUUUAUAUCAAAAUACACUUAGAAUGAAUUUGAAUAUAUAUCUAUGUAUAUAAAAAUAAAUAAAAAUAAUAAGAAAUAUACAUACGUCCAUAUACAAAAUUACAUAAAUAAUUAUAUAAAUAUACACGUAGACUUCAAAUAUAUAAAUAUGCAUAUAUAUUUAAAUUCUACGUGCGUAUUUAUGUAAUAUUUUUACAUAAUUCAGUAAUUUUAUUGAUUGCAAUUUGAGGGACCUGCCUGCCAACCCAGGCCGAAAUUCCAGAGAAUUUAAUUUGUUAGCACUGUAUUUUACCCUGUAACGUUCUACGACACCCUAAAACCUGUACAUGGGGGGUACUGUUUUACUCGGGAGACUUCGCUGAACACAAAUAUUAGUGAUUCAAAACAGUAAAACAUAUCACAGCGAUGAUAUUGUCAGUGAAAGUGACUUUUUGCAUUUUUCACACACAAACAGCACUUUUACUGAUGAUAUAAUUGUUGUGAUACGUUUUCCAGUUUUUAAACACUAAUAUUUGUGUUCAGCGAAGUCUCCUGAGUAAAACAGUACCCCCCAUGUACAGGUUUUAUAGCAUUUUUGAACGUUACAAGGUCAAAUAUAUGGGUCAAAUAUUUUUACAUUAAAAAUGGCCAGGUUGGUUACGUUGCCUUUGAGAGCGUAUGGUAGCCCAGGAAUGAGAAUUACCCCAUGAUGGCAUACCAUUUGCAAAAGAAGACAACCCAAGGUAUUGCAAAUGGGGUAUGUCCAGUCUUUUUUAGUAACCACUUGGUCACAAACACUGGCCAAAAUUAGCGUUCAAUUUAGUUUUUUUACUUUUUUCACACACAAACAAAUAUGAAUGCUUACUUUGGCCAGUGUUUUCGACUAAGUGGCUACUAAAAAAGACUGGACAUACCCCAUAUUGAAUACCCUGGGUUGUCUACUUUAAAAAAAAUAUGUACAUGUGGGUGUUAUUCAGAGAUUUAUGACAGAUAAUAGUGUUACAAUGUCACUAUUGAUAAAUUUAAAAAAUUUAUGUUUUGAAACCGCAAUAUUCUACUUGUACCUAUAGCCCUAUAACAUGCAAAAAAAAGCAAAAAAGCACGUAAACACGGGGUAUUUUUAAACUCAGGACAAAAUUUUGAAUCUAUUUAGCAGUUUUUUUAAUUCGCUUUUGUAGAUGAGUAAAAGAUUUUUCAAGUAAAAGUCAAAAAACAUGUAUUUUUUUCAAUUUUUCAUCAUAUUUUUUUAUUUUUUUUUAAAAUUAAAAUACAUGAGAUUAUAUAAAUAAUGGUAUGUAAAGAAAGCCCCUUUUGUCCUGAAAAAAACAAUAUAUAAUUUGUAUGGGAACAGUAAAUGAGAGAGCGGAAAAUUCCAGCCAAACACAAACACCACAAAAGUGUAAAAAUAUGCCUGGUCGCAAAUGUACAACAUCGCAAAAAAGGUCCAGUCCUUAAGGGGUUAAGAGGAUACUUCUCCAUUGUAUAUAUAGGACCCUACACAUAUUUUAGACACAAUUGAAACAAAGUUUCCACCAGUACAAAGUUACAGAAAGCUACGUGAAUAACAACCCCAUUAAUACUUGAACUAAAUGGGGAAACAGAGAUAAAGUAAUGAGAUAUGUGUCCUGAUCUAAAUAAUACUAUAUGAGUGCAUAAAUAUGCACUAGAGGAGCUCCAUAUGUACUCCCUAAAAAAACUGUGUCCAAAAGAUGCCUAGGGUCCUAUAUAUACAGUGGAGACUUAUCAUCUAGAAUCCUAUAUUACCUUAGACACAUUUUGAUCCUUUCCAAUUUAUAAGUAUCCAGUUUAUGUUCCCUGGAUUAUGGUAGACAUUUAGGAGCUAAGCCACUUUGUACCUAUCCAAGCAUCUAAUAAAGGAAUCUUUCCCAAUAAUAAUAGCAUUAGUUGAGUUAAGGUGGUACUUCUUUGUAAAACUUUCCAUUACCACUAGGUAGAGUAUAUAUAGAAAGUAUAUUUAUGUAGGGCUUUUUUUUGUGUUUAUUCUUACUUAGAUUGCUUAUUUAAGCACAGAUGUAUUAUUCACUAUUUCGACAUGGCUUAUAAUUAGACUAGGGAUUCUACCUCUUUCUUUGUGUAUAUAUUUACUGGGGUUAAGCACUAGGGAAUAAUUAUCCUUAGGGGGCCCUCUCUCUAUCUUUCUUAAGCUUCUUCUAUUGCUCCAUGGUCCAGUUCUGGCGCUUUUGGGGGUGGACAAGAGUCAUCACGGGCACUCUGACCAAUCUGCAAAUACGCAGCCCCAAAUGCAGCAAACUAUUUAAGCUACAGUAGCUUUUCUGUGUGAUCAGACCUUGGGUGCUCAUGACCCUGAUGGUCGUUCACCGUUUGUCCUUCACCACCCAACACUUUUAGUAGGUACUAACCACUGCAUACUGGGAACACUGCACAAGACCUGCUGUUUUAGGGAAGCCCUGUCAUCUAGCCAUCACUAUUCGGCCCCUGUCAAAUUCAUCUUUUUGCUUUCCCUUUUUUCCUGCUUCCAAUAAAUAAAAUUCAAGAACUGACUGUUCACUUGCUGCCUAAUAAAUCCUACCCAUUGACAGGUGUAAUUAUGAUGAUACAAUCACUUCACUUAUAUUCACUUCACCUGUCAGUGGUUUUAGUGUUCUGGCUGAUUACUGUAUAUCUCCUUUUGUUCUCAACCAGUUCCUCAAUUUAAUUCAAUCUAAUAUACUUUAUUGAUGCUACAAAAAUCUGGAUGAUGAUGAUAAAUGUAAUCGAUAUUGAUAUAAAAAAAAAAUUCUAGAAUAUAAUGCAUAAUGCUGCCGGUCAUAAAUAAUCUUAAAUAAGUAUAACGAUAAUGUGCAAUGCCUCUUACUGAAACAGAUUACAUUCUAAUUUGUUGUUUGUCUUCUCCACUAGGUCUAUAAACAACAGAAUAGUAGCCCAAGCCUUCCGCUAUGAUCAGUAUUUUCAGCCCUAUCAAAAGCAUGAGUUUGUCCUGGUAAGCGCAGUCUUAUUAUUAUUAUUAUUAUAUUGAAAUCAGAAUGAUAUAAUUAAAUACAGAAAAUAAAAGCUUCACAACAUUCCUAUAUAAUAUUAUAAGAUCCACCUUUGAACUGGAUGUGCAUCGGAACAUGAACUUCUUAGAUUGAGGUGAAACAGCUGAAAAGCAAGCUUGCAAAAUCCUUUUAAGCCAACAAAUUUAUUGACAUGUCUAUUAAAAUCCUCCAUAGAGCUUAUUGUCACAACUGUCAUCUGGGUGACCCUCUCUAACAUCAAUGUGUCCCUAAGUGAAAUUUGAAGAGACACUGUAGGUAUUCUUAUUAUAUUCAGCCUCACGUUUGCUUGUUGCGUCAAGGUAAAGGUUUAAGAAAGAUAAAGGUCUGGAAGAGGCUAGGAGCUUAGGAUCCUUACCAGAUUUGGGUGAACUUAUGAUUUUCAGUUGUAUGUGUGUGCAUGUAGGGGCGUAUUUGUUUGCAGUAUUGGCAUUUGAAUGCAGCUGUGUGUUUGUUUGUCCUGUUGCCAUUUGAAAGCAGUGGUCUACUUGUGCAUUUGAUUGUAUGUAGUGUUUGUAUGUAAUGUUGGCCUUGGAAUGCUAGAAUUUCUGCACAUAUAUAAACAUACAUUGCUACAAACAUACAUACUAUAUGAUUGCGCUUUAAAAGGGUUGAAGCAAACUGGGCCACCUAUCAGACAUGUCUUUUGGAUGGCAACACUGGCAGAACUACAGCUGGUUGCGGACGCAACAUCAGGUUGUCCUACGUGCGUGGGCAUGUCUGAACAGUGGCUAGAUUUGGGUACCAAGGCGUUUUAUCAGUGCAACUGGGCCCCUGGUCAGAUUAGCUGUGCUAUGAGGAAGUGAAUUCAAGGCUCUUCCACCCAUCUUGCAGAAAUAGCCUUUCAGGCUAGGAGGAUGCAGAAACAGGAGGGAGGAGAGAGACGUCUUUGUGUGUUGCAUCUUCACUUCUAGCAUCUAAAUACUCCACUAGCGGUCACUUUGAAAUUAUUUUUCUUAACAUUACAUAAAUAACAAGUAAUAUAUAACACACAGUCAAACGUAAACACUACACUACAAGUACACCACUACUUUCAAAUGACAGCACUACAUACAAACACACAACUGUAUUCAAAUGCUAACACUAUACACAAAUGCACCCCUGCAUGUACAUACAUACUCAAUACAAAUACUUACAUUCAAACACUGCUCUCAAAUACAACAUUGUAAAGAUGGGCAAAUGAUACAUUCCCAGCUGGUAAUGCAUCAUGGAAGUUAAGCAACAGACGGAAAUUUACUUUUUAGCCAUCCUUGUUUUAUUUUUGGACCAGGGCCCUCUAGACGUUAGUGUGUGGGCCACCUGAUGAGUGACACCCCAGCUUGCAGGCCCCAGUGUAGCUGUUUCAGCAGUAGUUCCACCAGUGAUUGAAAUCUUUAAGCUGGGUGAAGCAAUAUUUUACUGUAUGUAUGGAGAACAAGUGAAUGAUAAUAUUAGGGAGCUAAUAAUUUGCUGUAUUCAGGGCUUAGUCCAUCCAGGCCUGGUGUUUUAGUCUGGCAAAGUGCCUUAAUACACAAUAGUACUUCCUGAGAUAUAGGCAUAGCUUGUGUCUGUGUGUUUGGAGUACCUCCAAUAAUCCACUAGGUCUAAUUGAUCCUGUCCGAGUGACUUGUCGUUUGUGAGCAGUCAAGUAGUUGAUCAGGUAGAGUAUUUAAAUCCCCACCUAUGAUGACGUUUGGGAAUUUCUCAAAUCUGUGAAAAAGGAAUUGGAAUUUUCAUUUGAUGCAUAGACACUCAGCAACAUAGAGGCUGAAAUGCAGAUUCGAUCUGUAUGGUCUCUUUUUCCAGUUUAGAAUCAAUUAAAGGUGAAAGCCAAACUGGGAGUUCAUUGGAUUUUUAAGUGACUUUCCAUCUGACGAAGAUGAUUGCAGAAAAGUAGAAGAGUUUGAGUCAUCAGAAUAACUUGUGUCGAAAGGUUCUGGAGAUGUAGUUGUGGGUGCUGCUAUUUUACUUAGUAGAGUUUUAGUUUAUCCUUUGUUCCCAGUUUCUUAGAUGAUACUGAGUGUGCAAUAUAUUGAUAUGUGAAUACUAUAACCACUGCUGUGGUCUGUAAUAGUUAUGGUGCCGGGAGUCCCCUGGCAUAUUUUCACUGUUAAGCAUCAAACCAGUUUAGAUGUUUAGGUUUUGAUGUCCAAGCACUAUAGUAAGACUCAGGCUAUAUUCUCACAGGAGCCUAUCACUGCUCAGGAAGGAUUAGCAAUGUUCAUGGUGAAUAAGAACUGAUGCAAUGUAAGUAACUACGUGCAGCUGUCUCCAAACAAUAUGAUAAUAUUCUCACAAGCGCUGAACUUGACUCUGGAAGGAUUCAAGGGUCACUAGAGGCACCCACAACACUUUAUCUCAUUGAAAUGGUCUGGGUGCAGUGUCCCUGUCCCCUUUACCCUACAGCUGAAAACAUUUUAGGUUUAGAGAGACUGCAAUGUUUACAGGAGUUUCCGGGUUUUUCACAGAGUUUAACCUGAAACGAUGCUGGACGUCCUCAUGUUUUUCAUGAGGACAUCAAGUGUUUUGCAAAACCCCAUAGGAAAGCAUUGAUUCGGUGCUUUCCUAUGGGAAAGGCCUAAAGCGGGUGCGGUGCCUUCCACCCAUGCACACUAGGUUCCCUAUCAGACUGAUGACGGAAGACAUGGAGUCAGACCCCUCAACGCUGUAAUCAGGAUAAUUGCAGCAGUGGGCAGGGGAGGGGGAAACGGAGGCAGAGGGACACUAUAGUGUGAGGAACACAGCUUUGUAUUGCUAAAACUAUAGGUUUCCUUUAACAAGCUGCUAUUGUAGAAACUCACUGAGACAAUUCAGAAACAGGGUGUACAUGCCCCCAAUAACUAUUGUCUAUGCAUUAUGAUGAAAUUAAGGUCUUGCUCUGUCAACAUUGUCACAAACAAACACCAGCACUCACCAGACCAACUGAAUGGGUUACAGCAGCCUCAGUUCUCCUUAGUUGUCUAGUUAAUGUGUAGAAAUGGUCCAACACGAUUCCAUUCAGUAUUUAGCGUUUUGUUUUUUUUGUUUUUCUUAACUUAGGCAUUUUUAUUGAAGCUGUCCUUUACACCAGCAAUGUUUUGCCUGUACACAUUGCUUGACAAAGGCUCUCAUGAAAUAUUAUACAGGGCCCUAGAAUGGUUAACAAUAUUUUAAAGCAAAUCAAAUAAUAGGGUGCAACUGGUCCCCAAUAAAAAGCAUUGACGCCAUAAAUAUACUCUGGUUCUGUCAAUGUGACCAAAUAAAAACCAUGCACACUGAAGAUAUAAGAGAAAUGUGCAAAUUUCGGAUUUAAAUUGAUGAGGCCUUACCUUCAAAUGCCGCAUCAAACUAAAUUGAUUCUCAUCUUAAACCUUUUUCACACAUACUGUAAGAGAGAUAGCAAAACGAUUGUACUGUCUUACCAUUAAUGUAGACGUAUUUUCCUAGUGAUCUGUUGAUGCAAUUAAUGGCAUGCUUGCUACCUGUGACCAUGAAAUUGGAUGCAGAUGAAUUUGUCAGAUGCCAGUAAAAAGUAUUUUGCAUCCAGCAGACAUAGCGUAUGUUAAUAGCUUUCCCAGAUAUAAAAUGUGGCACGGUGUGAGCCAGUCUUUCAAUAAAAAGUACAUUAUGCUCUCUCUAUUAUAGGAGCUUGGUUAUAAGCACCGUUAAUGAACAACUCUGCAGUACUGGCAGUGACUUGAUAAAAAAUAAAACUUUUUAUUACCGGUAAGUGGCAUUAUUUCAGAUGGGUUGAAACCACACCUGUGAAAUUAAUAUCUGUUGCAAAAGACCAAUGUUCUUCAGUUUAUGUUUCCCAUGGAGUAAAAAGAAGCAUGUGAGCCAGUACACUUUGGGAACAGUAGUAGACAAACUGAAGUAACUGUUCAAUAAAAUGUCUAGAUAUUUAAAGGCACUCACACUUAUAUAUAUAUAUAUAUAUAUAUAUAUAUAUAUAUAUAUAUAUAUAUAUAUAUAUAUAUAUAUAUAUAUAUAUAUAUAUAUAUAUAUAUAUAUAUAUAUAUAUAUAUAUAUAUAUGUAAAUCUGUUAUUUUCCAUGGUACCUGAGUAGCAUGAUAUUUCCUGACAAAAAUGAAGUGUAUAUAUAUAUUAAGGAGGAAAUUGUGAGUGCAGGGCAAAGUGAAUUUUUGAAAGUAAGGCACUUAUUGCAAAUUAAUUUUAAGUCCUGUGAUACCCGUCAUGGGAGAAUUUAUUGAUCACGAUCCUUAAGACGGUGGCUGUAAGUGGGUGUCUACUCCACAGUUCACUCAAGCAAGCACUGCAAUUGUAUUUUUGGUAAAAUUCAAAAGGGAUAAUUACAAAAAAAAAAAAAUAUGAUAGCUACCCUUUAAAGGUAUGUAAUUAUCGUAAAGGAUACCGCACUCUCCUGGAUCCUAGGGGGCAACCGGGCCUGAGGUUGGCCAGUGCUCACAAUGUAAUUUUUUUACAUUUCACAUGUUUGUUUUUAGAUUUCUUGUUUUUAGAUUUUUAGCUGUAUCCCUAAUUUAGAGUUUGGUACGUUUUGAGUCACUGCCAGGUUCAGGAAAAUGAAGCUGGAUAGGAAGACAAAAUGGUGCCAAAAUGGGGUAAGAAUUAGAAGGUAAUAACGAGAGACUAGUUGGAAAAAAUAAUAAAUGGGGGCAUAUAGCACACAAAGUGUCGGGGGGACCUUAAAAAAGAAAAAAAAUACUAGCCGCUUUUAAAAAGCACUGUCUUGUUUAAUUGUUUUGUGUAUUUUUUCUUUUUUCAUAUAGAUUACACUCUCCUCUCCCCUCGCCACUUAACUUUAAUAAGAUAAAGUUUAAUAAUAAGAUACCAUAUGUUUACAGGUGUGUGUGUGUAUAUAUAUAUAUAUAUAUAUAUGUGUGUAUGUAUGUAUGUGUGUAUAAAAAUAUUGAGAUAUAGGCUAGCACUCACGGUCUUGUAGUAAAAAAUCAUCUUUAUUCAGUUAUUCCUUAAAAACUCGACGCUUCAGCCCACUUCCUGGGAGUGCUCUCCUUUGUCUUGAUAUGCAUGUAUAUAUAUAUCCACACGAAGGAGAGCACUCACUGGAUUUGUAGUAGUCUUCAAACUUUUAUUUCCCAAAUGGUGACAUCAACUUUUACGUCCAAACAGCGGACUUUCAUCAGGAUAUAUCUUUACUAUGGGAAAGCAUUGGAUUGGCUGAGAUUGUUUAUUCUGAUGAUCUCAGCCAAGAAGGUGGGUCGGGGGAAGGCCAAAUGCCACACGGUCCAAUCAGCAUCUCCGCAUAGAGAUACAUUGAGUCAAGCUUGAAGAUGCUAAACCAGUGUCCAUCUGACUGACUGCCAUUGGAGGUGUCCCUAGGCAGCAAUAUAAGCGCUGCCUUAUACCUGAAAAGGCAGUGUUUGAAGUGAAACUACCUCCAGGGACAUAAUAUACUCACCAGAACAAAUACAUUAAGCUUUAGUUGUUCUGGUGAUUAUAGCGUCCCUUUAAGCAAAUUCAAUCAUACCUGCUUACACCCGUAAUUCCUUCUACAAUGAUCAUGUGUAUUCCGUAUGUCCAGUCUUUUAAAUACAAUUGUAAAACUAGAUAUUUGAGGGCUUUUUAUGAUAAAAUCGAACAUGUUUGCUAUUGAAAACAUUAAGUUGUUCUAAAAGGAAAACAAUAAUGCAUACCCAGACAUUCAGGAUGCCUGCAGAGCCCAAACUUGAUUAGAUAUCUUUAUGAGGUAAGUGGAUUGUAUCAGUCAUCAAAAGGUUUUACAAAACAUUUUCAUUGUCGCAAUAUUUAUAAACCCCUCUGGCUCCUCAUGAAAUGUUUGUAGAGGAUUUCCUAUUCUGUUUAAAAGGGUCAUAAAAUAAGAGGCAGUGUUUUGUUUGUUUUUCUUUUUAUAGUUGUUAUGCAUUCUAGAAAUAUAUUAGCCUUAAAAUAGUAUUUACUGACUAAUUUCCUACACCCUUUAUUGUCCCUUUAAACUGUACCUGUCAUGAACAAAUUACUUGUCCAGACAUAAAAUUACAUGGCCACGCAGCACAUUUCAUCUAUACGUUAUGCUAGCUAAAAGGCUGGAAAAUGUAUAGAUAUAAUUUUAUUUACUCUAAAGCAUUUAAAGGGACACACAGGGAUCGAUUUUACUACCCAUUUUUAAUGCAUUACCUAGGUAAGCAACAUUAGCCCCUCAUUGGCACUUUAAAAUGAAAUAGUUACCAGCAAAGUUGUUCAGUAAAGUGUUUCAGGAAUUCAAAAUGUAUUGGUAAUAUUUUCCAAGUCGGCUACAUUUUUAGUUGAGUUAUAUUGGCCUCAUAUAUGAAACUUCGUUUUAAAUCCUGACAAUUUGCUCUUAAGUGAAUAACCCUUUCACACCAUUUGUAAAUAUAAGUCUAACCCUUUACUAACACAUGGACAAAGUUAUAUCUUCUGUUUAUUUAGGAAACAAGCUGAAACAACAGCAUUCAUUAUGCUAUAUGUUUUAUAUGUUUGGAACACUCGUAGAGUUACAGAUCACCAUAUUGAGACAAACAUCUUCUUUUCAAAGUUUUUGGGACAUAAACCUAAGUCUUAUGAUACCUUUAAAAUAUUUGUGCUAAAAUGUAAAAUACAUAAUGCUACCUAUUAUCCUUUUAAAUAUUUUAGCCACCCGCAAGUACUACUUCGUGACUUCGUGAUAUUUCAUCAAUUAUGUUUUGUUUUUAAUUGGGGAAGUCAGGGGCACUUGCAUGCUAAGUUACUUCUCUGAAACUGCUAUGUUUACAGCAGAAAGGGUUAAUCCUAGAUGGAUCUGGCACCCAGACCACUUCAUUAAGCUGAAGUGGUCUGUGUGCCUAUAGUGGUCCUUUAAGUAAGUUGUAGCAUCUUGCAUCUGAACAGUUCUAUUUUUUCCAAUGAUGAAGUACUGCACAUGCUUGUUAACAAGUAAUUACAGUUUGAUUUGUGGUGUCUCAACAAGUACUUCCUGAUGUGAUUGGCAAAUUGGUUAAGACUAUGGUACCCGGUUAUUUAAAAUGUGACCCAGACCAGAAAAUGUCUCACACCACUUAGGAAAUCAUUGCCCAACGUUUGUUUUCAACAUACUCUGCCCAGCAGAUGGUUAAGAUUUGUAUCUUAGCAUUCAUGAAAGGCAUAAAUAAUACUUAAUGGCACAUGCAUCUUCUAACAGCUUGCACUAUUCAUGAGUAGUCUCACUCAUCAAUAAGGGAGGCUUUGAAUAAGUGUUCUCCAAUUUGGGUAGAUCUCACCCCAUACCCCAUGCAGGAUGUAGUGGUGGUUAUGGUGUUUAGAGUGUUCUUCUUAGUACUUGUAAGACAUUUCAUGUCAGCAUGUAUUUCUGGAGUUCAGUGAGUGCGUUUGAUAAAUCUUUGGCUUUAUUUUAUUUAUUUUAUUUCUUCUCAUUACAGAACUUUUUUCAAGAUCCAAAUGUUGUGUCACAGUUGAAGUUAAUCUCCGACUCUUCUGGGCAAUGGAGGACUCUAGGUA
Molecule: non-coding RNA, 17694 nt
Organism: Pelobates cultripes (western spadefoot toad)
Lineage: Eukaryota; Metazoa; Chordata; Amphibia; Anura; Pelobatidae
Source: the annotation of a GenBank genome assembly